Molecule: ribosomal RNA, 481 nt
Filed under: uncultured bacterium
Lineage: Bacteria
Description: bacterial SSU rRNA
Rfam family: Bacterial small subunit ribosomal RNA
Source: RNAcentral
GCCUAACACAUGCAAGUCGAGCGGGGCCCAUCCGUCAGCAAUGGCGGUGAAGGCCUAGCGGCGAACGGGUGAGUAACACGUGAGCAACCUGCCCCGAAGUUCGGGAUAACACCGGGAAACCGGUGCUAAUACCGGGUGCCCCCACCUGACCGCAUGAUCGGGUGAGGAAAGCCAUAUCUAAUCAAUAUGGCCCUUCGGGAGGGGCUCGCGGGCUAUCAGCUUGUUGGUGAGGUAACGGCUCACCAAGGCGACGACGGCUAGCUGGUCUGAGAGGACGACCAGCCACACUGGGACUGAGACACGGCCCAGACUCCUACGGGAGGCAGCAGUGGGGAAUCUUGCGCAAUGGGCGAAAGCCUGACGCAGCAACGCCGCGUGGGGGAUGAAGGCUCUCGGGUUGUAAACUCCUUUCAGCAGGGACGAAAUUGACGGUACCUGCAGAAGAAGCCCCGGCCAACUACGUGCCAGCAGCCGCGGUAAU